AUAAUGGGUCAGCGACUUAUAUUCUGUAGCAAGGUUAACCGAAUAGGGGAGCCGAAGGGAAACCGAGUCUUAACUGGGCGUUAAGUUGCAGGGUAUAGACCCGAAACCCGGUGAUCUAGCCAUGGGCAGGUUGAAGGUUGGGUAACACUAACUGGAGGACCGAACCGACUAAUGUUGAAAAAUUAGCGGAUGACUUGUGGCUGGGGGUGAAAGGCCAAUCAAACCGGGAGAUAGCUGGUUCUCCCCGAAAGCUAUUUAGGUAGCGCCUCGUGAAUUCAUCUCCGGGGGUAGAGCACUGUUUCGGCAAGGGGGUCAUCCCGACUUACCAACCCGAUGCAAACUGCGAAUACCGGAGAAUGUUAUCACGGGAGACACACGGCGGGUGCUAACGUCCGUCGUGAAGAGGGAAACAACCCAGACCGCCAGCUAAGGUCCCAAAGUCAUGGUUAAGUGGGAAACGAUGUGGGAAGGCCCAGACAGCCAGGAUGUUGGCUUAGAAGCAGCCAUCAUUUAAAGAAAGCGUAAUAGCUCACUGGUCGAGUCGGCCUGCGCGGAAGAUGUAACGGGGCUAAACCAUGCACCGAAGCUGCGGCAGCGACGCUGAUGCGUUGUUGGGUAGGGGAGCGUUCUGUAAGCCUGUGAAGGUGUGCUGUGAGGCAUGCUGGAGGUAUCAGAAGUGCGAAUGCUGACAUAAGUAACGAUAAAGCGGGUGAAAAGCCCGCUCGCCGGAAGACCAAGGGUUCCUGUCCAACGUUAAUCGGGGCAGGGUGAGUCGACCCCUAAGGCGAGGCCGAAAGGCGUAGUCGAUGGGAAACAGGUUAAUAUUCCUGUACUUGGUGUUACUGCGAAGGGGGGACGGAGAAGGCUAUGUUGGCCGGGCGACGGUUGUCCCGGUUUAAGCGUGUAGGCUGGUUUUCCAGGCAAAUCCGGAAAAUCAAGGCUGAGGCGUGAUGACGAGGCACUACGGUGCUGAAGCAACAAAUGCCCUGCUUCCAGGAAAAGCCUCUAAGCAUCAGGUAACAUCAAAUCGUACCCCAAACCGACACAGGUGGUCAGGUAGAGAAUACCAAGGCGCUUGAGAGAACUCGGGUGAAGGAACUAGGCAAAAUGGUGCCGUAACUUCGGGAGAAGGCACGCUGAUAUGUAGGUGAAGUCCCUCGCGGAUGGAGCUGAAAUCAGUCGAAGAUACCAGCUGGCUGCAACUGUUUAUUAAAAACACAGCACUGUGCAAACACGAAAGUGGACGUAUACGGUGUGACGCCUGCCCGGUGCCGGAAGGUUAAUUGAUGGGGUCAGCGCAAGCGAAGCUCUUGAUCGAAGCCCCGGUAAACGGCGGCCGUAACUAUAACGGUCCUAAGGUAGCGAAAUUCCUUGUCGGGUAAGUUCCGACCUGCACGAAUGGCGUAAUGAUGGCCAGGCUGUCUCCACCCGAGACUCAGUGAAAUUGAACUCGCUGUGAAGAUGCAGUGUACCCGCGGCAAGACGGAAAGACCCCGUGAACCUUUACUAUAGCUUGACACUGAACAUUGAGCCUUGAUGUGUAGGAUAGGUGGGAGGCUUUGAAGUGUGGACGCCAGUCUGCAUGGAGCCGGCCUUGAAAUACCACCCUUUAAUGUUUGAUGUUCUAACGUUGACCCGUUAUCCGGGUUGCGGACAGUGUCUGGUGGGUAGUUUGACUGGGGCGGUCUCCUCCUAAAGAGUAACGGAGGAGCACGAAGGUUGGCUAAUCCUGGUCGGACAUCAGGAGGUUAGUGCAAUGGCAUAAGCCAGCUUGACUGCGAGCGUGACGGCGCGAGCAGGUGCGAAAGCAGGUCAUAGUGAUCCGGUGGUUCUGAAUGGAAGGGCCAUCGCUCAACGGAUAAAAGGUACUCCGGGGAUAACAGGCUGAUACCGCCCAAGAGUUCAUAUCGACGGCGGUGUUUGGCACCUCGAUGUCGGCUCAUCACAUCCUGGGGCUGAAGUAGGUCCCAAGGGUAUGGCUGUUCGCCAUUUAAAGUGGUACGCGAGCUGGGUUUAGAACGUCGUGAGACAGUUCGGUCCCUAUCUGCCGUGGGCGCUGGAGAACUGAGGGGGGCUGCUCCUAGUACGAGAGGACCGGAGUGGACGCAUCACUGGUGUUCGGGUUGUCAUGCCAAUGGCACUGCCCGGUAGCUA
RNAcentral lists this ribosomal RNA (2154 nucleotides) under Escherichia coli. RNAcentral's name for it is "partial 23S ribosomal RNA". It matches the Rfam family "Bacterial large subunit ribosomal RNA", at positions 612 to 2751 of the family's 2925-position model. Lineage: Bacteria; Pseudomonadati; Pseudomonadota; Gammaproteobacteria; Enterobacterales; Enterobacteriaceae. The record is from RNAcentral.